Molecule: ribosomal RNA, 26 nt
Filed under: Emblica officinalis (emblic)
Lineage: Eukaryota; Viridiplantae; Streptophyta; Magnoliopsida; Malpighiales; Phyllanthaceae
Description: Phyllanthus emblica partial 18S ribosomal RNA
Source: RNAcentral
AGGGGGGACAUGCGGAAGGAUCAUUG